RNAcentral lists this ribosomal RNA (253 nucleotides) under uncultured bacterium. RNAcentral's name for it is "partial 16S ribosomal RNA". It matches the Rfam family "Bacterial small subunit ribosomal RNA", at positions 524 to 776 of the family's 1533-position model. The record is from RNAcentral.
UACGUAGGGGGCUAGCGUUGUCCGGAUUUAUUGGGCGUAAAGAGCGUGUAGGCGGCCAUGUAGGUCCGGUGUGAAAACUCGAGGCUUAACCUCGAGAUGUCAUCGGAAACCAUCUGGCUAGAGUCCGGAAGAGGAGAGUGGAAUUCCUGGUGUAGCGGUGAAAUGCGCAGAUAUCAGGAAGAACACCCGUGGCGAAGGCGGCUCUCUGGGACGGUACUGACGCUGAGACGCGAAAGCGUGGGGAGCAAACAGG